Pan troglodytes (chimpanzee) is the source of this 304-nucleotide unclassified non-coding RNA. Its record names the gene 7SK. It matches the Rfam family "7SK RNA". From Rfam's summary of the family: 7SK was discovered as an abundant small nuclear RNA in the mid-70s but a possible function has only recently been suggested. Two independent studies have found that 7SK RNA binds the CDK9/cyclin T complex (known as elongation factor P-TEFb). The record is from Ensembl. NCBI's taxonomy places the organism in Eukaryota, Metazoa, Chordata, Mammalia, Primates, Hominidae.
GGGUGAUCUGGCUUCAACAUCUACCACCCAUUGAUCACCAGGGUUGAUUCAGCUGAUGUCUGGCUAUACAGGUGUCCCUUUCCUCCAGUGUUCCAUGUGUAACCCUCCUGAAGUUGAAAACUUGGUUGGAGAGGAUGACCUUCCCUGAUAGAAGAGGACCAUUCUUUAAUCAAGGGUGUUCAAGUAGCUCUCUAAGCUCUCAAGGUAAAGGUCUCACCUGCACUGUCAGUCUUAUAGUCAAUCAUAAUGUAUCAACACAUAAAGAAACUAAUAGCUAUAAAAAUUGUUGAAGAGGCUGACAUUU